CAUUGAGGGGAAUUGAGCUUAGAAUUUGGUCAAUUGGUCCCAAGAACAGUUGCUGCUGCAUAAAGGUGCUUUCUUAAUAUUGACAUGUAAUAAUGACUUGUUAUCACACUCGACAUACUAAUAGUCUAAUACAUUCUUGUCAUUGUGAAGUUUGGUCCUCAUAGUUUCAGCUCCUGACAGCUACUGUAAUGGUAUUGAAUUUGCUUCUAAUAUGAAUAUAAUACCCAGGCAAUUUGUUGUGCAUGUGAUAGAUAAUUCCAAGGAAUACUCAUCAUUUGCAUUAAUUUAUCCACCCUAAUUUGGGCUAUUAUCAACCAAUAUACCUUUGGGCAAUCUUUAUUCUAUUUUAUUUAGUCAUAUUUAUCAUUUGGGUAGAAGGAAUAUGAUUGAUUGUUUGAGAAUUAUUGUCAAAAUACCUCUUUUUAGACAGAUUCUUCCCUGAAGGUGUACUACAACCAUCAGCUAACAAACUUGUGGAACUGAUGCCAUUUCUCUUAGCCAUAAUGUAUAGAUAUAUGUAUUUUUCUACAAUGAUUGCAGUUGGAAGGUGUGGUAACCUUCUUUGGCCGGGUUGCAAUACUGAUAGACCAGAAUACACAAGCAUUCCACAUGUUCAUUACUGCUCUUCUUCAGGUUUUCGAUGAAGAUGUUGGGCAAGACAAACAAUUGGGCAUAGCAAAAUUAAAGCUGAUUGAGCUGGAAGCUAAAACUCCAAAAGAGGUUGAAGUGAGACUCUUUCCAUCACUUGAUAUGCUUAAAAUAAAAAGAUAAGAAGGAUAGAGGAACUCUUACUGUUAAGGUGUUGUAUCAUCAAUUUAAUACAGGAGCAAUUGGCCGCCUUAGAAGCUGAAAAGAUGAUCCUAGAAGAGAGAAAGAAACUGAAAGCAGCAGGAGAUGAUCCUAGAAGAGAGAAAGAAACUCAAAGCAGCAGGAGUUAUAGGAAUUGGAUGAUUCAGGUAUAUAAUCAUCAUUUUGGUGAAGAUGAUUGAUGACUUGAUGAAGCUGAAGAGAGCUGUGGAUGAAGUUAUUUUCAGAGAAUUUGGAGAGCACACUGAAUAUUGUUAUUUUUUUGAUUUUGUAUUGUCAUAUUGUAUUUAAAGGGGUUUUAUUUAUUUAUUUAUUUUAUGGGA
Camellia sinensis is the source of this 1130-nucleotide non-coding RNA. NCBI's taxonomy places the organism in Eukaryota, Viridiplantae, Streptophyta, Magnoliopsida, Ericales, Theaceae. The record is from RefSeq and is a predicted model, not a curated record.